This 2921-nucleotide ribosomal RNA is filed under the name Staphylococcus aureus. RNAcentral describes it as "bacterial LSU rRNA". It matches the Rfam family "Bacterial large subunit ribosomal RNA". The record is from RNAcentral. Lineage: Bacteria; Bacillati; Bacillota; Bacilli; Caryophanales; Staphylococcaceae.
UUAAGUUAUUAAGGGCGCACGGUGGAUGCCUUGGCACUAGAAGCCGAUGAAGGACGUUACUAACGACGAUAUGCUUUGGGGAGCUGUAAGUAAGCUUUGAUCCAGAGAUUUCCGAAUGGGGAAACCCAGCAUGAGUUAUGUCAUGUUAUCGAUAUGUGAAUACAUAGCAUAUCAGAAGGCACACCCGGAGAACUGAAACAUCUUAGUACCCGGAGGAAGAGAAAGAAAAUUCGAUUCCCUUAGUAGCGGCGAGCGAAACGGGAAGAGCCCAAACCAACAAGCUUGCUUGUUGGGGUUGUAGGACACUCUAUACGGAGUUACAAAGGACGACAUUAGACGAAUCAUCUGGAAAGAUGAAUCAAAGAAGGUAAUAAUCCUGUAGUCGAAAAUGUUGUCUCUCUUGAGUGGAUCCUGAGUACGACGGAGCACGUGAAAUUCCGUCGGAAUCUGGGAGGACCAUCUCCUAAGGCUAAAUACUCUCUAGUGACCGAUAGUGAACCAGUACCGUGAGGGAAAGGUGAAAAGCACCCCGGAAGGGGAGUGAAAUAGAACCUGAAACCGUGUGCUUACAAGUAGUCAGAGCCCGUUAAUGGGUGAUGGCGUGCCUUUUGUAGAAUGAACCGGCGAGUUACGAUUUGAUGCAAGGUUAAGCAGUAAAUGUGGAGCCGUAGCGAAAGCGAGUCUGAAUAGGGCGUUUAGUAUUUGGUCGUAGACCCGAAACCAGGUGAUCUACCCUUGGUCAGGUUGAAGUUCAGGUAACACUGAAUGGAGGACCGAACCGACUUACGUUGAAAAGUGAGCGGAUGAACUGAGGGUAGCGGAGAAAUUCCAAUCGAACCUGGAGAUAGCUGGUUCUCUCCGAAAUAGCUUUAGGGCUAGCCUCAAGUGAUGAUUAUUGGAGGUAGAGCACUGUUUGGACGAGGGGCCCCUCUCGGGUUACCGAAUUCAGACAAACUCCGAAUGCCAAUUAAUUUAACUUGGGAGUCAGAACAUGGGUGAUAAGGUCCAUGUUCGAAAGGGAAACAGCCCAGACCACCAGCUAAGGUCCCAAAAUAUAUGUUAAGUGGAAAAGGAUGUGGCGUUGCCCAGACAACUAGGAUGUUGGCUUAGAAGCAGCCAUCAUUUAAAGAGUGCGUAAUAGCUCACUAGUCGAGUGACACUGCGCCGAAAAUGUACCGGGGCUAAACAUAUUACCGAAGCUGUGGAUUGUCCUUUGGACAAUGGUAGGAGAGCGUUCUAAGGGCGUUGAAGCAUGAUCGUAAGGACAUGUGGAGCGCUUAGAAGUGAGAAUGCCGGUGUGAGUAGCGAAAGAUGGGUGAGAAUCCCGUCCACCGAUUGACUAAGGUUUCCAGAGGAAGGCUCGUCCGCUCUGGGUUAGUCGGGUCCUAAGCUGAGGCCGACAGGCGUAGGCGAUGGAUAACAGGUUGAUAUUCCUGUACCACCUAUAAUCGUUUUAAUCGAUGGGGGGACGCAGUAGGAUAGGCGAAGCGUGCGAUUGGAUUGCACGUCUAAGCAGUAAGGCUGAGUAUUAGGCAAAUCCGGUACUCGUUAAGGCUGAGCUGUGAUGGGGAGAAGACAUUGUGUCUUCGAGUCGUUGAUUUCACACUGCCGAGAAAAGCCUCUAGAUAGAAAAUAGGUGCCCGUACCGCAAACCGACACAGGUAGUCAAGAUGAGAAUUCUAAGGUGAGCGAGCGAACUCUCGUUAAGGAACUCGGCAAAAUGACCCCGUAACUUCGGGAGAAGGGGUGCUCUUUAGGGUUAACGCCCAGAAGAGCCGCAGUGAAUAGGCCCAAGCGACUGUUUAUCAAAAACACAGGUCUCUGCUAAACCGUAAGGUGAUGUAUAGGGGCUGACGCCUGCCCGGUGCUGGAAGGUUAAGAGGAGUGGUUAGCUUCUGCGAAGCUACGAAUCGAAGCCCCAGUAAACGGCGGCCGUAACUAUAACGGUCCUAAGGUAGCGAAAUUCCUUGUCGGGUAAGUUCCGACCCGCACGAAAGGCGUAACGAUUUGGGCACUGUCUCAACGAGAGACUCGGUGAAAUCAUAGUACCUGUGAAGAUGCAGGUUACCCGCGACAGGACGGAAAGACCCCGUGGAGCUUUACUGUAGCCUGAUAUUGAAAUUCGGCACAGCUUGUACAGGAUAGGUAGGAGCCUUUGAAACGUGAGCGCUAGCUUACGUGGAGGCGCUGGUGGGAUACUACCCUAGCUGUGUUGGCUUUCUAACCCGCACCACUUAUCGUGGUGGGAGACAGUGUCAGGCGGGCAGUUUGACUGGGGCGGUCGCCUCCUAAAAGGUAACGGAGGCGCUCAAAGGUUUCCUCAGAAUGGUUGGAAAUCAUUCAUAGAGUGUAAAGGCAUAAGGGAGCUUGACUGCGAGACCUACAAGUCGAGCAGGGUCGAAAGACGGACUUAGUGAUCCGGUGGUUCCGCAUGGAAGGGCCAUCGCUCAACGGAUAAAAGCUACCCCGGGGAUAACAGGCUUAUCUCCCCCAAGAGUUCACAUCGACGGGGAGGUUUGGCACCUCGAUGUCGGCUCAUCGCAUCCUGGGGCUGUAGUCGGUCCCAAGGGUUGGGCUGUUCGCCCAUUAAAGCGGUACGCGAGCUGGGUUCAGAACGUCGUGAGACAGUUCGGUCCCUAUCCGUCGUGGGCGUAGGAAAUUUGAGAGGAGCUGUCCUUAGUACGAGAGGACCGGGAUGGACAUACCUCUGGUGUACCAGUUGUCGUGCCAACGGCAUAGCUGGGUAGCUAUGUGUGGACGGGAUAAGUGCUGAAAGCAUCUAAGCAUGAAGCCCCCCUCAAGAUGAGAUUUCCCAACUUCGGUUAUAAGAUCCCUCAAAGAUGAUGAGGUUAAUAGGUUCGAGGUGGAAGCAUGGUGACAUGUGGAGCUGACGAAUACUAAUCGAUCGAAGACUUAAUCAA